UUGUGCAGUGGCAGUUGCAGCAGUCUUCAGAGACAGUUGGCAGUUGGGCAGCAGCCAUCUUAGGAGGACUCAGAGUAGCAACUUGGAGCAGAGCCAGCUGCUGGUGUGUGACAGGAGUGCUGUACAGCUUAUGAAAAGCCAGCUUCUAUUCCCGGUGACCGGAGAUCUUCAUUGUAGCAGCCAAUCAGUAAUAUCAGCCUCCUGUGGGGAUCCCACUGCUUCCAAUGGUGCUGGCUGACAGGCAUCUGGCAGAGCAGAACAGUGAUGGGCUCUACUGACUGUGCAGCUGGAAACUAGGCCAUGCAGCCUACCCUCCCUUUUGAAGGACAGCCCUGGAGGUAACCCUGCUUUGGAGUAACAGACGGUGGGAGGAGCAGAGACAGUGUCUUGCUGCAGCUGCAGACAGUGGUCAGCUUAUGAUGGUUAAUUGAGGCCAACCUAACCCUUGUAACACAGAAUAUUCUUUGAUCAUAUAACAAAUAACCAUCCAGAUGACUCUGAUACCAACAUAGUGGAGGUUACUCCUGCAAGACCCGGAGCCAAUAUUAAUCUUGUAUAGCUGGUCGGAGAACAUCCAUGUUGUUAACAACUUACAGGAGGUGGUUGAGCUUGUUGAAGAUGUACACCCUUACACCUAUCAGCAGCUUCAUGAAGCAGAGAGUGUACUGCCUCCCGCUUUCUACAUAAUGGACUCUGGACCUCUUCCCCUGUUGCCUGACUAUACAUUUUCAUCACAGACCCCUAUGGUCCCUAUUUACUUUUUCAUUUCAAUGCUGUGGUAUUCUAAUACACUACUGUACAUCUUGGCAUCCCUGUUCUCCCUGUGCUGCUAUGGACCUUCGCAAUCCUAGUGUGGAAGAACUGAUGGACUGAUGAUUACAAAAGGAUUUUCGGAGUAAGCAGAUCUGUUCUGACAACCAAGGAAAGCUCACGUACUACAUUUCAUUCAUUAUUAACUACCUAAGAUAGAAAACCCGGCGGUGGAAGAAGAAGCUCGGCGGUGGCGGCAAAAGACACUGUGGUGUCCAGAAGACGGCAGCCAAAGGUGGUAAGGAAGACAGAAGUUGCGGACCAAAGAGUGCUGCACUGUGUGGGAAGAGUAGUGGAGCUCCCCAUUGCAGUCUCUCCCACUGCUCAGGGUUGGUGGCCUUGGGCCACCAUCAUGUACAUUUAAUCCACCUAGACCACUAGGUUAGCCAGGUGCUAUGCCCAUGGGCACAGUCAGGCAUUUGGCCUGUGUCAUAAUAGGUGGGUCUCUUGGUCCGGGCACCCAAUAGGCGGACACUAAGUCAGUGGCUAUAUUCUAGGUCUUAAUCCUAAGUGGUCAAGACUCAUUCUAAGAGUGAUCUGGGCAUUAGGCGCCGGUCACUCCAACUUGCCCUGUUUAGGCAGGCAUCGUGCACAUGCCCACUACUUAUAAGGGGAUCUUGGUAAUAGGCCCACCCAGAUCACCAGUGUGCCCCUAAUUAGGCAGUCAUCAUAGGCCUGAGUCUAUAAAUAAGUGAGCUGGGUUCUAGACCCAGUUCACCCACCUGGUGUCCUCCAGUUAGGCAGGUUAGGGAGAGUCUGAUCCACCGAUAAACUAGGUCACUGGGCAGUGAGUCUUGCAGGUGUGUCAAAUUGCCUGAGUGCAGAUGUGAAGAGCUGUAUGGCUUCUGAGCUCAGAUUUGGGUAAUCAGUACUUUACAUGCAGAGGGCUAAGCCCUCAACUUAGUGUUGCUGUUACGGAAGGCCCCGGAUUGGGUUACGUGUGUGGAGGAGCGUACCAGUUCCACAAGUUAUUGUAAUCCUUUCCUUACACGUGAACGUUUGUUCACGGAACAGGGCUUCUGUGUGGCACUUAUUCUGGUUCCUGGAGGAGCACUUUGUUUGUUCGGUGGUGGUGAGUACCGCCAAUGGGCGAAUAUUUAAAUGUUUGCACUAUCAAGGUAGUUACCAAUUUAUAUUCCCAGUGGGACAAAAAAAAACUUUGUGGCACCAAAUCAGUAUGUGGCUGAAGUACCAGGAUAAAUCUUCCCAAUACCGAAACUUUGCUCCAUUUCAUGUUUUCUAUUGUUUUCAAAAGAGCAUUCUCACAGUGUCUCUCAUUAAAUUACAUGUUAAUUUUAGUCAAGAAAUACUGUAUUCUUUAUUUGCUUUGAAUUCAUUUUAAUUAAAUACACUUUUUAUAAGAAUGCAGUCAUACUGCGCAACCCAGCACUGAAGAGACUAUUAUUUACAUAUGCUGCAUGAUAGAACAAAUUAAUCCAUGCUAAUAUUAAAGGUUUUCCACCUCUUUUGAAGCUAAGCUUACAUAAAAAGAUAAUGGUUUUGUUUUAUAACCUUCAUUAAAAAUGUAUAUGGACUAAUGUUAACGAAAUGAUACUGAAGUCACAUAACUGUACUUUAACAUUAUGAGGCAUAAAUGCAAUUAAAGUAAUGCAUCAUCAAGGUUAAUAUUGUAAAAUAUAUAAAGGAAAUUUAAAAACAUGAUACAGAAGUUUAACUUUAAAAAAUAAAAACU
This is a long non-coding RNA of Pseudophryne corroboree (corroboree frog), 2503 nucleotides long. RefSeq lists it as uncharacterized. The transcript has 5 exons. Lineage: Eukaryota; Metazoa; Chordata; Amphibia; Anura; Myobatrachidae. The record is from RefSeq and is a predicted model, not a curated record.